CUUGAGGGAGGGCCCAAUGAUGAUCUCACUGUGAACUGCCAUGUCCUACCUGCUAAACAGAUUUCCUUACAUUGACCAGAUUUGGAGUUGCCCUUUCCAGGAUCAAUAAGAACAAGGAAAUCCAGAUGCUUCUGAGAGGCUCCCAGCUCCUGAUUCCCAUAUGUGGAAGGCUCAGAUCAAGACUAUCUCUUCAUGAAACAACUCAACCACUACCCAGGACUCAGGGAGCUUUCCCAAGGACCUUGUAUACCUUCCUUUUUUGUAUCAAGACAGAAGGGCAGCUUCCUUCUCCCCGUCUCUUAUCUCUUCAUCCUCUUUUUUUCUCCCUCCCUAAUGGUAUGUACUCUGAAUUAGAGGACAAUAAAUAAAGCCAAGUGGUACUGAAGGAAUAUUUGAGA
Non-coding RNA from Rattus norvegicus (Norway rat), 398 nucleotides. NCBI's taxonomy places the organism in Eukaryota, Metazoa, Chordata, Mammalia, Rodentia, Muridae. The record is from RefSeq and is a predicted model, not a curated record.